AGUGGGGAAUAUUGGACAAUGGGCGCAAGCCUGAUCCAGCAAUGCCGCGUGAGUGAUGAAGGCCUUCGGGUUGUAAAGCUCUUUCGCACGCGACGAUGAUGACGGUAGCGUGAGAAGAAGCCCCGGCUAACUUCGUGCCAGCAGCCGCGGUAAUACGAAGGGGGCUAGCGUUGUUCGGAAUUACUGGGCGUAAAGGGCGCGUAGGCGGUGCUUCAAGUCAGGCGUGAAAGCCCCGGGCUCAACCUGGGAACCGCGCUUGAGACUGGAGGACUAGAGUUCGGGAGAGGAUGGUGGAAUUCCCAGUGUAGAGGUGAAAUUCGUAGAUAUUGGGAAGAACACCGAUGGCGAAGGCAGCCAUCUGGACCGACACUGACGCUGAGGCGCGAAAGCGUGGGGAGCAAA
RNAcentral lists this ribosomal RNA (402 nucleotides) under uncultured Skermanella sp. RNAcentral's name for it is "bacterial SSU rRNA". It matches the Rfam family "Bacterial small subunit ribosomal RNA", at positions 353 to 772 of the family's 1533-position model. The record is from RNAcentral. Lineage: Bacteria; Pseudomonadati; Pseudomonadota; Alphaproteobacteria; Rhodospirillales; Azospirillaceae.